UGACCGAGAGAUGGCCAUUGGACGUUAGAACACGAACUUCCUGUUGGAAGACACAAGUACAUGUGAUUGAUAACGAGCUAUGCAUUCACAAUCCUCACGUUCCUAUAACGAACCCAGACAGAAAAUGCAACUACAAGAAUUAUAUUGAGGGGACGAGUGUGGCAUUUACCUUGGAAGGAGUUUUGACAAUACCCUGACAAGUACUGUUAGACUCCUUCCAGGUAAGAAUAAAGAGGAGGUUGUCAAGCAGCUGCGCUAUUAUUCAAGGCUCCUGGUCACGGCACUUCCAGUUUAUGUAAUCCAAGAGUAUGCACGACUUAGCAUGACC
Selaginella moellendorffii is the source of this 328-nucleotide long non-coding RNA. RefSeq lists it as uncharacterized. The transcript has 4 exons. NCBI's taxonomy places the organism in Eukaryota, Viridiplantae, Streptophyta, Lycopodiopsida, Selaginellales, Selaginellaceae. The record is from RefSeq and is a predicted model, not a curated record.